This is a long non-coding RNA of Oryza brachyantha (malo sina), 1562 nucleotides long. RefSeq lists it as uncharacterized. The record is from RefSeq and is a predicted model, not a curated record. Lineage: Eukaryota; Viridiplantae; Streptophyta; Magnoliopsida; Poales; Poaceae. The transcript is spliced from 3 exons.
AAUCUUUCAGGAGAAAAAAAAAGACCUAGUUUCGCAUGCUGAGCAGUUCCUAGGCCUGUUUGUCUGAAAAAAAAUAUAUAAUUGAGUAUGUGCUUGCGUUCCGUGGUUUCUUUAUUAAGCUUGGUCAGAUUUGGGGGACAAAUGCUUAUAUGCCCAAUCAUAGCACUAGUUUUGGAGGUUAGGGUUAAGACUAACCUGAACCAAUGGCAUUUGAUGAGGAUAUACGUGUAGAUCUUCUGGCUUGACUCAGACUGCGUAAACCCCGGCCCCAGCAGAUUUACCAAAGCUAUUUUCUACCGUUUUCUCGUGGAAGCUAACAGUAGCAUGGAAGUGAUGCUUAUGUAUAUAUGGUAUCUCGAUCGAUCUGAAUUGGGUGGGUUGCGUACGUUUUGAGUACAAUGAUUCGAUUAACUGCUGAGAUGGGGAGAAUUAAAAUAGUUUGAUCUUGUUAUUUGGCAAUGGUGGGUCUGCAUCCAUGAUUCAACUCCUCCAGCUUGGAAUGAGCAAAACAAUGAGGGCCUUUUUUCUCAGAAAGACACAAGCUGCAGCCACUGACAUGGUGGUCCGUAUACUUCAUGAUACUACACAUACACAAGUGAUGAGAAGUAGCGAGAGAGAGGUGUGAUGCAUGCAAGAGGAAGAGGGCUGUGCGUCCGGACGGGCUUGCAUGGCUUGUGCUGGAGUGUGGGGUUCUUGCACUAUAUAAGCCAGAAGCUAAGUUGGUGGGAGGCAUGCAUGCAUGCCUUUGUUGCUAACUCUUAUUCGUGUUUGACAUCUUCAUCCCAUGAAAAGCAAUGGCUGGGAAGCAUCAGCUUCGAAGGUACCACAUUGCUGGGGGUCGCUAUCUCAUCUCUAGCUUUCUUUCUCUAAUGCUUUCACCUGCCUACUUGCUGAGUUCCUUUGGACAUAAUCACCAAUAUACUCUGGUAGGUGAGUUCCAUUACUGUUCUGCACUUCUGCCCUUGUUUUUGCGUCAUUAUCCUAAUUUCCAUAGCUUUGUCAUUUCGUUCUCUGUUUUUUGGACACAAACUUUAUCUGUCAGCUCACCAUACAAAACUAGAUUAUCUUUUGCUCUUAAAUUCAUUAGUUCUCUGUAAAUAAAGAUACUUGAUUAUGAUGUGCUCUCUAUAAAAUGGAUUACUACUGAUGUAGCUAGCUAGUAAGACACAUGAUUUUUCAAACUUCUUAGCGCUCCGUCCAGCUUAUGCGUACAAGAGAUCAACUGAUCAUGGACAAUUAAUCUUCUACUGAUACUUUGUUAAAUUUCUUGGACCCAUCCACAUGCAAUGAAUGCUUAUAUAUGGCUUGUUUAGUUUUCUUCUCUUUAGCAUUCAAUAUGAUGUAAUUGGACUGCUCUGUUUAUGAUCUUGAGUUCUUCCAUGCAUGCAUGGAUGCCUACUUUCUUCUAUAUAUAUCUUCUGGUUGAUUGUAUUCACCGUUUUGAACUAAUUCGAUCAUUCUCUACACAAACCUGUGAUUACACUUGCUAGCAGGUAGUCCAUCCGUAAUUAAUAUAUGCACCUACAUUUCCUCUCUGAUGAUUACUUGAUUAGUUGGUUGAG